This is a long non-coding RNA of Poecilia latipinna (sailfin molly), 1377 nucleotides long. RefSeq lists it as uncharacterized. The record is from RefSeq and is a predicted model, not a curated record. NCBI's taxonomy places the organism in Eukaryota, Metazoa, Chordata, Actinopteri, Cyprinodontiformes, Poeciliidae. The transcript is spliced from 5 exons.
UUAUUGCUGUCGCAAGCCAGAUGAAGAGAAGUAAAGAGCUGAGAACCUGAUCUUUGAACAGUCAGAGACCAUAGCUGAGGAGCAUCCAAUGAUGAUACCAGAGAACCAGGAAGAGACUGUGAUAGUGCUUGAUCUUGUUCCUUUUUUUCAUCCUGUUGUCCCAUCCUCUCAGUCUUUUCAGAAGAAGAAAAGACCCAGAAGCAUCUCUCCAACUGCCUCUCCUCCCACUGUGUCAUCUCUCCGCCCCCCCCCCCCCCGCCCGUAGAUCAGCCACAUCUGCAUUCAUGUCACCUGCUGACCAUGCCGUCUCCUUAAGUCAGGGUGGCCGAUAAGAAGAGAAAGCGUAAGUUAAAAUGUUAAGGAAGGAUCCCUUCAAGUGUCAAGCUUGUACCCCAGAUGUGCUUUCAGUUUCAGUGGAUGGAAACUGCAAGUAUUACCAUUUAAAGAAUGCAGCAAAAUGUGUAAAAUAUAACAAUUCUUUGUAUAUGUUAGUGAUGUUCACUACUUUUGGACUAUAACAUCUCAUGGAGUGUAUUUUAUUGCUUGUUUUUCAGAUUGGAGGAACAGGCUAUAUUUCAGGACCUUUUCAUAGCCAAGGAUGAAAACGUAGGAAAAUUAGUGGACUGUAUACACAAAUCAACCAAAAAUAUUUUGUGGUGGGCAGCCAGGGAGAUCUCUCACAGAACCAGCAGCAAACUGGAAGAGGAGGCUUGGAGCUAGCGACACAGAUGGACACAAAGCUUGUGCCAAGGCUCAUCGCAAGAUCAGAAAGGAGAAAACAUCUUAGCUUUAGAAGAUGUUGGUCACUUGAAGACUGAUACAGACACAGAAGUUCUGUCUUUGGAAGAGAUCCUGUCCGACUCUGUCAGUCUUCACACAAGAACAAGGGCAAUCGAUGACAUCAUGAUAGUAAAGAGACUGGAAGAGGAAAAAAGGAUCCUUGUUGAUGGACCAUCAUUGGAAAUCUCUGUCAUCCUGUGAAGACACUCUAAAGGAGUUUCCCACCUGUUAUCAGGAGGUAAAUUUAAAAGUUUGUCCUGUGCCCUAACUGACGAAGGUCCAAGAGGUCUCCAGAGCAUCAUCCUCAGAGAGCUGCAGCACCAACAGAUGAAGCUGCAGGCAACAGAGUAUUAUCUACAGCAGGGGAGCCCAAAGUGGGUCCUGGAGGCCCGGCAUCCUGCAUGUUUUAGUUCUCUCCCUGGUUUAACACACCUGAAUCAAAUGGUGGCUCGUUAGAUGGCCUAAGAAGAACAUUGACAAGCGGAAAAGGUUGUUUCUACCACCAGAGAGAAAAUAAAACAUGCAGGAUGCCGGGCCUCCAGGACCCACUUUGGGCACCCCUGCUGUAGAUAAUACUCUGUUGCCUGCAGCUUCAUC